This 468-nucleotide ribosomal RNA is filed under the name uncultured bacterium. Its description in RNAcentral is "partial 16S ribosomal RNA". It matches the Rfam family "Bacterial small subunit ribosomal RNA", at positions 28 to 507 of the family's 1533-position model. The record is from RNAcentral.
GACGAACGCUGGCGGCGUGCUUAACACAUGCAAGUCGAACGGAAGGGCCCUGCUUGUGUGUGGUUCUCGAGGGGCAAGCGUGUGAGUAACACGGGAGUAACCUUCCCUGUGGUGGGGGAUGACUGCAAGAGACUGGUGCUAAUACCUGAGACGAGCGCGUGAUACAGGGGGGGGGUUGGAAAUUUUGGGCGGUUGUGGAUGUACGCGCGGCUUAUCAGCUUGUGGGGUGGGUAGUGACUUACCAAGGCUUUGGCGGGUAGCCUGCCUGAGAGGGUAACCGGCCACAUUGGGACUGAGAUACGGCCCAGACUCGUACGGGAGGCAGAAGUGGGGAAUAUUGCACAAUGGGCGGAAGCCUGAUGCAGCAACGCCGCGUGCGGGAUGACGGCCUUCGGGUUGUAAACCGCUUUCGACUGUGACGAAGCGUGAGUGACGGUAAUGGGUAAAGAAGCACCGGCUAACUACGUG